Molecule: ribosomal RNA, 253 nt
Filed under: uncultured bacterium
Lineage: Bacteria
Description: partial 16S ribosomal RNA
Rfam family: Bacterial small subunit ribosomal RNA
Source: RNAcentral
UACGGGGGGGGCAAGCGUUGUUCGGAAUUACUGGGCGUAAAGGGCUCGUAGGCGGCCAACUAAGUCAGACGUGAAAUCCCCAGGCUUAACCUGGGAACUGCGUCUGAUACUGGAUGGCUUGAAUUCGGGAGAGGGAUGCAGAAUUCCAGGUGUAGCGGUGAAAUGCGUAGAUAUGUGGAGGAAUACCGAUGGCGAAGGCAGCCCCCUGGGAUAACACUGACGCUCAUGCACGAAAGCGUGGGGAGCAAACAGG